RNAcentral lists this ribosomal RNA (407 nucleotides) under uncultured bacterium. RNAcentral's name for it is "partial 16S ribosomal RNA". It matches the Rfam family "Bacterial small subunit ribosomal RNA", at positions 30 to 526 of the family's 1533-position model. The record is from RNAcentral.
AUUGAACGCUAGCGGGAUGCCUUACACAUGCAAGUCGAACGGAGUGGCGAACGGGUGAGUAAUGUCUCGGAAUGUGCCCAGUAGCGGGGGAUAACUACGCGAAAGCGUAGCUAAUACCGCAUACUAUCAGAGCGGCCGUUGUCGGAUUAGCUAGGUGGUGGGGUAACGGCCUACCAAGGCGACGAUCCGUAGCUGGUUUGAGAGGAGGAUCAGUCACACUGGGACUGAGACACGGGCCAGACUCCUACGGGAGGCAGCAGUGGGGAAUUUUGGACAAUGGGGGAAACACUGAUCCAGACAUGCCGCGUGUGUGAUGAAGGCCUUCGGGUUGUAAAGCACUUUUAGAAGGAAGGCGGUACCAGCAGAAUAAGCACCGGCUAACUACGUGCCAGCAGCCGCGGUAAUUC